RNAcentral lists this ribosomal RNA (253 nucleotides) under uncultured bacterium. RNAcentral's name for it is "partial 16S ribosomal RNA". It matches the Rfam family "Bacterial small subunit ribosomal RNA", at positions 524 to 776 of the family's 1533-position model. The record is from RNAcentral.
UACGAAGGGGGCUAGCGCUGCUCGGAAUCACUGGGCGUAAAGCGCACGUAGGCGGAUUGCUAAGUCAGGGGUGAAAUCCUGGAGCUCAACUCCAGAACUGCCUUUGAUACUGGCGAUCUCGAGUCCGGGAGAGGUGAGUGGAACUGCGAGUGUAGAGGUGAAAUUCGUAGAUAUUCGCAAGAACACCAGUGGCGAAGGCGGCUCACUGGCCCGGUACUGACGCUGAGGCACGAAAGCGUGGGGAGCAAACAGG